GAUGAACGCUGGCGGCGUGCCUAAUACAUGCAAGUCGAGCGAACGGACGAGAAGCUUGCUUCUCUGAUGUUAGCGGCGGACGGGUGAGUAACACGUGGAUAACCUACCUAUAAGACUGGGAUCACUUCGGGAAACCGGAGCUAAUACCGGAUAAUAUUUUGAACCGCAUGGUUCAAAAGUGAAAGACGGUCUUGCUGUCACUUAUAGAUGGAUCCGCGCUGCAUUAGCUAGUUGGUAAGGUAACGGCUUACCAAGGCAACGAUGCAUAGCCGACCUGGGAGGGUGAAGGGCGCCACUGGAAGUGGAACACGGUCCAGACUCCUACGGGAGGCAGCAGUAGGGAAUCGUCGGCAAUGGGCGAAAGCCUGACGGAGCAACGCCGCGUGAGUGAUGAAGGUCUUCGGAUCGUAAAACUCUGUUAUUAGGGAAGAACAUAUGUGUAAGUAACUGUGCACAUCUUGACGGUACCUAAUCAGAAAGCCACGGCUAACUACGUG
Molecule: ribosomal RNA, 497 nt
Filed under: uncultured bacterium
Lineage: Bacteria
Description: partial 16S ribosomal RNA
Rfam family: Bacterial small subunit ribosomal RNA
Source: RNAcentral